This 616-nucleotide ribosomal RNA is filed under the name Hanseniaspora meyeri. Its description in RNAcentral is "LSU rRNA". It matches the Rfam family "Eukaryotic large subunit ribosomal RNA", at positions 37 to 669 of the family's 3401-position model. Lineage: Eukaryota; Fungi; Ascomycota; Saccharomycetes; Saccharomycodales; Saccharomycodaceae. The record is from RNAcentral.
UGCAUUACAUAAGCGGAGGAAAAGAAACCAACCUGGGAUUACCUUAGUAACGGCGAGUGAAGCGGUAAAAGCUCAAAUUUGAAAUCUGGUACUUUCAGUGCCCGAGUUGUAAUUUGUAGAAUUUGUCUUUGAUUAGGUCCUUGUCUAUGUUCCUUGGAACAGGACGUCAUAGAGGGUGAGAAUCCCGUUUGGCGAGGAUACCUUUUCUCUGUAAGACUUUUUCGAAGAGUCGAGUUGUUUGGGAAUGCAGCUCAAAGUGGGUGGUAAAUUCCAUCUAAAGCUAAAUAUUGGCGAGAGACCGAUAGCGAACAAGUACAGUGAUGGAAAGAUGAAAAGAACUUUGAAAAGAGAGUGAAAAAGUACGUGAAAUUGUUGAAAGGGAAGGGCAUUUGAUCAGACAUGGUGUUUUUUGCAUGCACUCGCCUCUCGUGGGCUUGGGCCUCUCAAAAAUUUCACUGGGCCAACAUCAAUUCUGGCAGUAGGAUAAAUCAUUAAGAAUGUAGCUACCUCGGUAGUGUUAUAGCUUAUUGGAAUACUGCUAGCUGGGAUUGAGGACUGCGCUUCGGCAAGGAUGUUGGCAUAAUGGUUAAAUGCCGCCCGUCUUGAACCGGACCAA